UGGGCAGGGGGUUGGACUAGAUGACCUACAAGGUCCCUUCCAACUCUGUCAAUCUGAUUUCGCUUCAUGGCGAAGGAAAAAAGGUAAAGCGGACGAGUCGCGCGUGCGCAAAUCUCCCAGCCUCUUUCGCUCCAUCGAAUGAGCGCGCGGUGGCCUCUUUUCGCCGGGGAGGCCGGUCGGUAGAUCGCCGCCGAUCGAAAGAGGCGGCGCCGUUGACGUCGCGGCUGGUGUUCGGGGCGGGCGGGCGCCCCCGGCUGUUUCCGGAGGAAGGAGAAAAAGGCAGGCGGCGAGCGAGCGAGCGACUCCAUCCCCCACCCACAGGGAGGGAGUUCGGCGGCGGCGGCGCAGACAGGCCCGACGAGGCGGAGGCGAAGGAGGCGCAGUUCGAGUGACCCCCGGCCGCGGCGGCCACCCACCACCACCCGCACCGCCACGCUCCCCCCGCGCAGAAGGCAGGAUGGCGCUGAAACGCAUCAACAAGGUACUAUCAACACUUAUUGAUGUAAAACUGUUUUGGUGUUUUGUCUUGCAGAAAGCAGUGGGAUAUAUUGUUACUUUUGCAUGGCAAGUAUCUCAGUCAUUUGUGUUUGAUUUAACUGGAGCUGAAAUCUUCAUUACUUCUCUUGGAUUUGAAACUGUUGGGCUUUGUUUGGCCACUAUGAUUUUGGCUGUAGCAGUUGGAAUUGUGGCUACCUUGGUGAUUGGCUCUGGCUUUUGUGGGAAAGAAACAUUAUUUAUUCCGCUGGUAUGGAUCUCCAAAGCAACUGUCCAGUUUCGUCAGACAAUUUCUGAGGCCUGUAUGAUCAGCAAGUUGUUUCCCCCCCUGGUCACAUGAUCAAUCAAGACCAUGGAUUUUACCGCCUGCACAUGGUUUUUUUUCCCCUCCUUGCUGCUGGAUAGAAAACUAAAGGAGUGAGUCUCUCGUAGCUGUGGUCUUUAGAAUGGAGCACUAUGGUUUUCUUUAUGUUCUAAGUAGCGUUUCAUAAAGUUUGGUUAUCUUGUGGAAAUCUCUGACAACCAAUUAUAUGAACAAGAAAACAAAGGCAGUCGUCCCAGAAGGAAGCCUCUUCUAAAGAUGAUGCACAAGAAAGUCCGCAAACGAUUUGCUGCACACAAUGUAUUUCAUGUCCUGAGGUCCGAUGAGAACAAGGUAAACUUAUUUGGUUCAGAUGGAAUCAAGCAUGUGUGGUGGCAACCAGGUGAGGAGUACAAAGACGAGUGUGUCUUGCCUAUAGUCAAGCAUGGUGGUGGGAAUGCCAUGGUCUGGGGCUGUAUGAGUGCUGCCGGCACUGGGAAGUUACAGUUCAUUGAAGAAACCAUGAAUGCCAACAUGUACUGUGACAUACUGAAGCAGAGCAUGAUCCCCUCCCUUUGGAGACUGGGCCAUAGGGCAGUAUUCCAACAUGGUAACAAUCCCAAACACAUCUCUAAAACGACCACUGCCUUGCUAAAGAAGCUGAGGGUAAAGGUGAUGGACUGGCCAAGCAUAUCUACAGACCUAAACCCUAUUGAGCAUUUGCAGGGCAUCCUGAAACAGAAAGUGGAGGUGCGCAAGGUUUCUAACAUUCACCAGCUCCGAGACAUCAUCAUGGAGAAGUGGAAGAGGACUCCGGUGGCAACCUGUGAAACUCUGGUGAACUCUAUGCCCAAGAGGGUUAAGGCAGCGCUGGAAAAUAAUGGUAGCCACACAAAAUAUUGACACUUUGGGCCCCAUUUGGACAUUAUCACAUAGGGGUGUACUCACUUUUGUUGCCAGUAGUUGAGACAUUGAAGGCUGUCUGUUGUGUUAUUUUGAUGGGACAGCACAUUUAGUUGUACAAGCAGUAUAAUCACAACAUUACAUUGUAUUUGUGUCAUUUCUUCAGUGUUGUCACAUGAAAAGAUAUACUUAAAUAUUUAUAAAAUGUGAGUGGGUGUACUCCUGUGAUAUACUCUAUAUGCAGGUUGGCCUUCAAACAAAUUUGUCUUGUGUACUGAUUGUACCAAUUCCUGAAUUGGGAGGCUCAUAGUUUAUUCAUAUUCCAGAUUUAUUAUUACCACCAAAUCCCUCAAAGACAUCUAGAAAUCAAAAAAUCACCAUGUAAUGCCCACUCCUCCACAAGCUGUUGGGGGGCCUUGGUUCUAUCAAGUUGCCUUCGAAAAGGCACUAAAAACCCAGGUCCUUUUUCGAUCAUUGGGGUCAAAUAAAUUUAGAAUUUCACCUGGAAAGUUAUAAGAAAAAUUUGCAUGCCUGAUAGUUUGUUAGUUUCAUAUGCUGUUUUUACCUGUACAGGUUUAUUAUUAUUUCUUUCUUGAUUUUAUGUCACCUAGUCACAUCUGUCCAUACUGUGUUCCUGUAUUCAUAUCCCAAAUAAAUAAAUUUACAUAGUCCUAUCACACAACUGUUUCACAUUUUUAUUCAAUCCCUUUUAUCUCCUAACCUGAUGUUUUUCAUUCACACAUGCACAUAUUCACACAUACAUUAUGCUGUUCACACACACACAUUUGUGAGUGUAGAUGUCGGAUUCAGUCAUUGUAUUUUACUCAUUGACCAAAUACAUGUAUGCAUUGACAUCAUUAUACAUGCAUGUACAUAACACCAUAUAUCAUAAAUGAAAUAAUGGCAUCAUUAUUAUUGUUAAGUCCUAAUAGAACCAUGUAUAGAUACCUCCCAGAACCAUUUAUCUCUUAUGAAAGUCAAAGUAUAUUGAGGUACAUUAAGACUUGAUGGAGGGAUUUUUUGGAAAUUUUGAUCAGCUUAAUGUAUAGCUAGAGAGGUUAAGAUUUUCCCAUCUUUUAUAACGUUUGAUUAAAAAAGGGCUUCUUCCAUGGCAGCUCCAUCAAUUUCUAGUAUUUGUUUUAACUGGAGCUGAAAUCUCCAUUACUUCUCUUGGAUUUGAAACUGUUGGUAAGUGCAUAAAAGAGUCAUAGCUCUUUCAUUCUGAAUAUACUGCUUGGCUUCCUUAGGAGAACCAGAAUCUUAGCCAGAAUUGGUGGCAUUUAUAGAACACAGUGGGCCAUGAACCAAGAUAUAAAAUCACAUUAUGAUUUAUAGCUAUAUAUAAAUUGGAAGUUGAGUGCCUUUUUCAAAUUGGAAUAUUCUUAUAUUUCUCCAUGCAACACACAAAAGUUUGAGAGUCAUAUAACUAAAACCUCUGUUUAUGCACACUCUUGCAUUGAUUUAUAACCAGUUUUAUUAUAAGUAAUCAUUAUAAAUAUUUUAACUAAGACAUAAGGAACCCAAGAUGUAUAAAUAUAUAAAUAUUAUUGUUCAAGUAGUUGUUUUCAGUAUAUGAAAUACGGUAGUUUUUCCAAAACAGAUAUGACAAAAUGCCUGGAAAGCACACAUUAGUAUUAUUAUGCCAGUCUUAUUUUUGCAGUUCUGUGAAAGCAAGAGAGCCUGUUUGCAGAAGAGAUCUUUACAUCUCAACAAGAUUCUUCUCCCAUUCCCCUAUAAGGAUAAUGUUUAGUAAUCAUUGCCUUUGGGGGCGAUCCAUACAUUUGCUCUGUUUGAUUGGAGAUCAUGGCUACAAAGGAAGUAUCUUAUUUUAAAAAACAAGAAUUGUUGAUAAUGAGUUAAUUAAUACACAAGUUGUAUUCUUAGCAUGGCUAAUUGGCUUCAGAAAAUGCACUGCCUCCACCUUAAAAAUGUUAUGUUUUAUUUAGCUGUGUUUUAUCGAUGAAGAUUGUCAUUGCAAGUAUGCAG
This is a long non-coding RNA of Thamnophis elegans (Western terrestrial garter snake), 3685 nucleotides long. RefSeq lists it as uncharacterized. NCBI's taxonomy places the organism in Eukaryota, Metazoa, Chordata, Lepidosauria, Squamata, Natricidae. The record is from RefSeq and is a predicted model, not a curated record. The transcript has 5 exons.